AGGUGUUUUUGUCGGCUUUAUUUGGGGUUGGAGGAAUGUAUUUGGAUUUCAAGGUGUUUUUGUUCCACAGCGAGGUGUACGUUUUUGGCGUGCAAUGUAUGUGCAGUGGACGGGAAACAACUCUCACAUUCAAUCUCGACAAUGAUCCUCAAAUUGAAGGUGAAUUAUUUCCAAAUUGUUUUUACCAGAGAGAAUGCUACCCAGUUUGAAUUUUUUUGUUUCUUCUAACUGUCAAGAUUAAGGGACUGUUCGUCUGUAAUUGAGAAAUCAUGCAGGCCUGGAUAUUGUAGUCGAAGUUUUCAAAUGAUUCCAUGCACUCUCGUGAUGAUAAUUUUCCUGGAAAGUCUCAAUUUUAUGCGCGGCUGGACAAAUGUACUGAGGAUAUGAAGGGGCCUUUGCUCCACAGGGAGGUGUCGUCAUUGGUGUGAAUUGUAUGGGAGGUGGUCGGAAAUCAAUUCUCACACUGAAUUUCCACAAUGAUCCUCAAUUAAGAAAUCGUGCAGGCAUCAAAAUUUUAGUCAAGUUCUACAAUGGUGGACGAUUAUAUGCAUCUCUUUAUGAUAAUGUUUCUGGACAUUCUCAGCUUAUGUGGAGUUGGAGAAUUGUAUUGGGAAUUUGAAGGGGCUUUGGUUCCAUUGUGAGGUGUCAGUU
Cryptomeria japonica (Japanese cedar) is the source of this 651-nucleotide long non-coding RNA. RefSeq lists it as uncharacterized. The record is from RefSeq and is a predicted model, not a curated record. Lineage: Eukaryota; Viridiplantae; Streptophyta; Pinopsida; Cupressales; Cupressaceae. The transcript has 3 exons.